CCUGGUCCGCCUAUACAAACCGGCCUGGGGACCUCCGGCUCGGGGUGGUGUCCGCCUAGAAGCAGCGAGGCCGCGCUCCUUCCCCUUCCCCCUUCAGCUGUACCAGGAACAAUCAGCAUAACAGGAGAGAUGUUCCAAGUGUGCUACAGAUGAAGUGGAUCUCUGUACUUAACCACCUGGAAAGUGAUCAUCUUAAACCUGCCCACCUACUGCACAGAACUCCUGAAUCAAAUGAAAUACAAUUUUUCAAAAACUUAGAGUAAUAAAAAGGAAAAUACAAAUUUAA
Capra hircus (goat) is the source of this 286-nucleotide long non-coding RNA. RefSeq lists it as uncharacterized. The transcript has 2 exons. NCBI's taxonomy places the organism in Eukaryota, Metazoa, Chordata, Mammalia, Artiodactyla, Bovidae. The record is from RefSeq and is a predicted model, not a curated record.